This 449-nucleotide ribosomal RNA is filed under the name uncultured bacterium. RNAcentral's name for it is "partial 16S ribosomal RNA". It matches the Rfam family "Bacterial small subunit ribosomal RNA", at positions 328 to 794 of the family's 1533-position model. The record is from RNAcentral.
UUGCCAGACUCCUACGGGAGGCAGCAGUGGGGGAUAUUGCACAAUGGGGGGAACCCUGAUGCAGCGACGCCGCGUGGGUGAAGAAGCGCCUCGGCGCGUAAAGCCCUGUCAGCAGGGAAGAAAAUGACGGUACCUGAAGAAGAAGCCCCGGCUAACUACGUGCCAGCAGCCGCGGUAAUACGUAGGUGGCAAGCGUUGUCCGGAUUUACUGGGUGUAAAGGGCGUGUAGCCGGGCUGACAAGUCAGAUGUGAAAGCCGGGGGCUCAACCCCCGAACUGCAUUUGAAACUGUUGGUCUUGAGUAUCGGAGAGGCAGGCGGAAUUCCUAGUGUAGCGGUGAAAUGCGUAGAUAUUAGGAGGAACACCAGUGGCGAAGGCGGCCUGCUGGACGACAACUGACGUUGAGGCCCGAAGGCGUGGGGAGCAAACAGGAUUAGAUACCCGGGUAAU